This 834-nucleotide ribosomal RNA is filed under the name Dirofilaria repens. RNAcentral's name for it is "SSU rRNA". It matches the Rfam family "Eukaryotic small subunit ribosomal RNA", at positions 94 to 933 of the family's 1831-position model. The record is from RNAcentral. Lineage: Eukaryota; Metazoa; Nematoda; Chromadorea; Rhabditida; Onchocercidae.
CGGCUCUUAUAUCUGCUAUAAUGUACUUGAUGUUGAUUAUCCAACGUGGAUAACUGUGGCAAUUCUAGAGCUAAUACAUGCACCAAAGCUCCGACUUUUGAACGAGCGCAUCUAUUAGAUUAAAACCAAUCGGGUUAUUAGCCCGUUAAUUGGUGACUCUGAAUAGCUAUGGCUGAUCGCAUGGUCUUGUACCGGCGACGUAUCUAUCAAGUGUCUGCCUUAUCAACUUUCGAUGGUAGUUUAUGUGCCUACCAUGGUUGUAACGGGUAACGGAGAAUAAGGGUUCGACUCCGGAGAGGGAGCCUGAGAAACGGCUACCACAUCCAAGGAAGGCAGCAGGCGCGCAAAUUACCCACUCUCAGAAUGAGGAGGUAGUGACGAAAAAUAACGAGACCGUUCUCUUUGAGGCCGGUUAUCGGAAUGGGUACAAUUUAAACCUGUUAACGAGGAUCUAUGAGAGGGCAAGUCUGGUGCCAGCAGCCGCGGUAAUUCCAGCUCUCAAAGUGUAUAUCGUCAUUGCUGCGGUUAAAAAGCUCGUAGUUGGAUCUGCGUCUCAGGACCUGGUCCAUCCAUUGGAUGAGAACUGGGCUCCUAGGCUAAUAUUGCCAGUUUUCCAUACGUUACCUUGAUUGGUUGCGUAUGGUGGCUAGCAAGUUUACCUUGAAAAAAUUAGAGUGCUCAAUGCGGGCUAAUGCCUGAAUACUCGUGCAUGGAAUAAUGAAAUAGGAUCUCGGUUCUAUUUUGUUGGUUUUCUGAUCUGAGAUAAUGGUUAAGAGGGACGGACGGGGGCAUUCGUAUCGCUGCGUGAGAGGUGAAAUUCUUGGACCGUAGCGA